AAGACCUUGCGCUUUUGGAGCGGCCGAUGCCUGAUUAGCUAGUUGGUGGGGUAAAAGCCUACCAAGGCAACGAUCAGUAGUUGGUCUGAGAGGACGGCCAGCCACACUGGGACUGAGACGCGGCCCAGACUCCUACGGGAGGCAGCAGUGGGGAAUUUUGGACAAUGGGCGCAAGCCUGAUCCAGCAAUGCCGCGUGAGUGAAGAAGGCCUUCGGGUUGUAAAGCUCUUUCAGUCGAGAAGAAAAGAUUGUGACGAAUAAUCACAAUUCAUGACGGUAUCGACAGAAGAAGCACCGGCUAACUACGUGCCAGCAGCCGCGGUAAUACGUAGGGUGCAAGCGUUAAUCGGAAUUACUGGGCGUAAAGGGUGCGCAGGCGGCUUUGUAAGUCAGAUGUGAAAUCCCCGGGCUUAACCUGGGAAUU
This 423-nucleotide ribosomal RNA is filed under the name uncultured bacterium. RNAcentral's name for it is "bacterial SSU rRNA". It matches the Rfam family "Bacterial small subunit ribosomal RNA", at positions 207 to 622 of the family's 1533-position model. The record is from RNAcentral.